AAAAAUAAUAAUAAAAUAAAAAAAUAAAAUAAAUUGCUGGACACAGUGGCUCACACCUGUAAUCCCAGCACUUUGGGAGGCUGGGGGCAGGCGCAUCACGAGGUCAGGAGUUCGAGACCAGCCUGACCAAUAUGGUGAAACCCCGUCUCUACUAAAAAUACAAAAAUUAGCCGGGCAUAGUGGUAGGUGCUUGUAGUCCCGGCUACUCAGGAGGCUGAGGCCGGAGAAUUGCUUGAACCCGGGAGGUGGAGGUUGCAAUGAGCUGAGGUCACGCCACUGCACUCCAGUCUGAGCAACAGAGCUAGACUCCUUCUCAAAAAAAUAAAAUAAAUUAAAAAAAAAUAAUAAAGAUGUAAUGACAGGGAAAUAGACAGAUGUUGAUACACCCUGAAGCAGGUAGUGAAGCUGGCAGUUGGCCACUGGUUCCCACAGAAAAUUGCUCUAGUGAUGCUAGCAAAUCCCAAAAUUGGGGCUCAAUCCAGGAGGAUUCCUGGCUUCAUAAAGGAAAUAAUUCAAGAGCAAGCCAAGAGUGUAAAGUGAAGGCAAAGCAAGUUUAUGAGAGCAAGAGAACAGGAAAAUGGCUGCUCCACAGACAGAGCAGGGCUACUCCACAGGCAAAGUAGCACCCGUGGAUUGUUGGCUAGCUAUAUUUAUAGCUACUCCUUAAUUAUGUGCUAAAUAAGAGGUCGGUUAUUCAUGAACUUUCUAGAAAAAGGUUGGAGAGUUCCCAGAACCAGGGGUUCCUUCUCUUUUAAACUACAUGAGGUAGCUUCUGGGCAUUGCCAUAGCAUUUGUAAACGGCCAUGGUGCUGGUGGGAGUGUCUUUUAGCAUGCUAAUACAUUAUAAUGAGCAUAUAAUGAGCAAUGAGGGCAACUAGAAUUGAUGUUCAUUGCCAUCUCAGUUUCACUGCUUUCAGCUGGUUUCUUUAGUGCAUCCUGUUUUGACCAGAUCCUGUUUCAUCAUGAGCAGGGUCAUGACCACUGCUCAGAAACAAGUCCUGCUGACCUAUGUCACUGUUUGAAAUGCUUAUUCUUCAGUGCCAUAAAGAAAUAGCACUUGAGCCACCACGCCCUGCCCUCAAUUUCUUUUUUCACAUUGACAUCUAUCUCAAAGGAAGAGCAACUUAACCAAUGCCUUUGUGGUACACAUCAGUGGCUACAACUUUCACAAUUACAGCACAGAUAAAAAAGGCAUCUGAAUAACAGCAUAAACAUGGCAUCUGAGCUCCAAAAUUUCAUCUCCUUACAAGAAAGUGGUUAUUUUCCAGUGACUGCAGGAAUAGUUUCACACUGGGUACUGGCAUUAUCUCAGAAUAAAUGUUUUUGUUUUAUUUUUUUUGAGACAGCGUCUAACUGUCGCCUAGGCUGGAGUGCAGUGGUGUGAUCUCAGCUCACUGUAACCUCUGUUGCCUGGGUUCAAGUGAUUCUCCUGCCUCAGCCUCCUGAGUAGCUGGGAUUACAGGCAUGUGCCACCACGCCUGGCUAAUUUUUGUAUUUUUAGUAGAGAUGGCGUUUCACUAUGUUGGCC
RNAcentral lists this long non-coding RNA (1528 nucleotides) under Homo sapiens (human). RNAcentral describes it as "HSALNT0262957". Lineage: Eukaryota; Metazoa; Chordata; Mammalia; Primates; Hominidae. The record is from RNAcentral.